RNAcentral lists this ribosomal RNA (442 nucleotides) under uncultured bacterium. RNAcentral describes it as "SSU rRNA". It matches the Rfam family "Bacterial small subunit ribosomal RNA", at positions 26 to 518 of the family's 1533-position model. The record is from RNAcentral.
AGAGCGAACGCUGGCGGCAGGCUUAACACAUGCAAGUCGAGCGGAUGUAGCAAUACAUCAGCGGCAGACGGGAUAGUAACACGUGGGAACGCGCCCUUUGGUUCGGAAUAACUCAGGGAAACUUGAGCUAAUACCGGAUAAGCCCUUACGGGGAAAGAUUUAUCGCCAAAGGAACGGCCCGCGUCCGAUUAGCUAGUUGGUGAGGUAAUGGCUCACCAAGGCGACGAUCGGUAGCUGGUCUGAGAGGAUGACCAGCAUCACUGGGACUGAGACACGGCCCAGACUCCUACGGGAGGCAGCAGUGGGGAAUAUUGGACAAUGGGCGCAAGCCUGAUCCAGCCAUGCCGCGUGGAUGAUGAAGCCCUAGGGUUGUAAAGUCCUUUAACGGGAGAUAAUGACGGUACCCGUAGAAUAAGCCCGGCUAACUCGUGCCAGCAGCCGC